RNAcentral lists this ribosomal RNA (253 nucleotides) under uncultured bacterium. RNAcentral describes it as "partial 16S ribosomal RNA". It matches the Rfam family "Bacterial small subunit ribosomal RNA", at positions 524 to 776 of the family's 1533-position model. The record is from RNAcentral.
UACGGAGGGGGCGAGCGUUAUUCGGAAUUAUUGGGCGUAAAGGGCGCGUAGGCGGCUUGACAAGUCAAAGGUGAAAGCCCUCGGCUUAACUGAGGAAGUGCAUCCGAAACUGGCAGGCUAGAGUACUAAAGAGGGUCGCGGAAUUCCCGGUGUAGAGGUGAAAUUCGUAGAUAUCGGGAGGAACACCGGUGGCGAAGGCGGCGACCUGGGUAGAUACUGACGCUGAGGUGCGAAAGCGUGGGGAGCAAACAGG